Long non-coding RNA from Astyanax mexicanus (Mexican tetra), 840 nucleotides. RefSeq lists it as uncharacterized. NCBI's taxonomy places the organism in Eukaryota, Metazoa, Chordata, Actinopteri, Characiformes, Acestrorhamphidae. The transcript is spliced from 4 exons. The record is from RefSeq and is a predicted model, not a curated record.
UUAAAUAAUUGAACUUUGGCAUUCUGACUGUUCUGAUCUCCUUUAACAGGAAGUUUUAUCUCUGAAGAUCAGCAUUCAGGAUAUGAGGACGUAGAUGAGGAGCUUCUCUCAGAAAACUAUGGCGAGGUCUAUGAUGAUAUCAUACCUGCUGAAGAGAGCCCACACAUUACAACAGGUUCUUGAGUCUUAUCUGGCUGAGUAGAGGUAAAGCUUGUUCUGCUGCUGAGUUGAGCAGUGUGUGUGCAAGAGAUGGACAUCCGAGUUCUACUCAUUUUUCUAUUGACCACUGUCACUCUCGUCACAUCUGGAUGUUGUUGGAAAGGCAGUGAAUGGUAUAAAUUCCUUUAUCCUCGAAGAACUUAACUACUUUCUCCACAUCGGGCCGGGGAUUGUCAUGCACCGUGAGAAACCACGGACUCACUGCGCCAGCGUAGGGUCUUACAAUGGGUUCAAGGAUUUCAUCUCAAUACCUAAGAGCAGGCAGGGUACUGUUGUCUAACCUGUAGAGGCCUGGGCAUCUACAGGCCUCCCCAGACCAUCACUGAUCCCCCACCAAACCAGACAUGCUGAAUGAUGUUGCAUAAAGUGGCAUUUAAUUGAAAAGUAUAUAUUUACUUUUUGAUCUUACAUUCAUGUGAUUUACACUUUGCUAUCAUCCAGUCAGCCCAUUUUAGUAUUGCUAUAGAAGUACAAAUUAGUGAACUGAUUUCUUAUGAUCUCUAAAUGGGAGCUUUUGAUGUCCAUGAUUUGGUUUAAAUGUAUUUCAGCCUUGUUUGAGUAUUAUUAUUUGAGUAUAAGUGUAAUUAUUCUCUGAUUAUCAGUGUGUUUGUUUUUUUCUCC